CCUACGGGAGGCAGCAGUGAGGAAUAUUGGACAAUGGACGAGAGUCUGAACCAGCCAAGUAGCGUGAAGGAUGACUGCCCUAUGGGUUGUAAACUUCUUUUAUAAAGGAAUAAAACGAGGCAAGUGUGCCUUUUUGCAUGUACUUUAUGAAUAAGGAUCGGAUAACUCCGUGCCAGCAGCCGCGGUAAUACGGAGGAUGCGAGCGUUAUCCGGAUUUAUUGGGUUUAAAGGGAGCGUAGGUGGGUUGUUAAGUCAGUUGUGAAAGUUUGCGGCUCAACCGUAAAAUUGCAAUUGAUACUGGCAGUCUAGAGUACAGUUGAGGUAGGCGGAAUUCGUGGUGUAGCGGUGAAAUGCUUAGAUAUCACGAAGAACCCCGAUUGCGAAGGCAGCUUACUAAACUGUGACUGACAUUGAUGCUCGAAAGUGUGGGUAUCAAACAGGAUUAGAUACCCGAGUAGUC
RNAcentral lists this ribosomal RNA (460 nucleotides) under uncultured bacterium. RNAcentral's name for it is "partial 16S ribosomal RNA". It matches the Rfam family "Bacterial small subunit ribosomal RNA", at positions 338 to 795 of the family's 1533-position model. The record is from RNAcentral.